AUUGAACGCUGGCGGCAGGCUUAACACAUGCAAGUCGAGCGGGGUGAUGGUGCUUGCACUAUCACUUAGCGGCGGACGGGUGAGUAAUGCUUAGGAAUCUGCCUAUUAGUGGGGGACAACAUUUCGAAAGGGAUGCUAAUACCGCAUACGUCCUACGGGAGAAAGCAGGGGAUCACUUGUGACCUUGCGCUAAUAGAUGAGCCUAGGUCGGAUUAGCUAGGUGGUGGGGUAAAGGCCUACCAAGGCGACGAUCUGUAGCGGGUCUGAGAGGAUGAACCGCCACACUGGGCCUGAGACACGGCCCAGACUCCUACGGGAGGCAGCAGUGGGGAAUAUUGGACAAUGGGCGGAACCCUGUUCCAGCCAUGCAGGGUGUGUGAAGAAGGCAUUAUGGUUGUAAAGCACUUUAAGCGAGGAGGAUGCUCUUUUGGUUAAUACCCAAGAUGAGUGGACGUUACUCUCAGAAUAAGCACCGGCUAACUCUGUGCCAGCCGCCGCGGUAA
Molecule: ribosomal RNA, 503 nt
Filed under: uncultured bacterium
Lineage: Bacteria
Description: partial 16S ribosomal RNA
Rfam family: Bacterial small subunit ribosomal RNA
Source: RNAcentral